Molecule: ribosomal RNA, 348 nt
Filed under: Holopsis sp. CO945
Lineage: Eukaryota; Metazoa; Arthropoda; Insecta; Coleoptera; Corylophidae
Description: partial 12S ribosomal RNA
Source: RNAcentral
UCUAAUUUAAUUUAUAAAAUUAAAGUAGUAUUAGUUAUAAUCUUGAAAAUUAAAGAUUUUGGCGGUAUUUUAGACUUUUCAGAGGAAUCUGUUCUGUAAUUGAUAAUCCACGAUUUUAUUUACUUAAAUUUUUAAUUUUCAUAUCGUUGUUAAAUAAAUAUUUUAUUAGAAUUAAUAUUUUGUUAAUAUAAUUUAAGGUAAAUCAGAUCAAGGUGUAGUGUAUAUUUAAGAAGAAAUGGAUUACAUUAAAUUAAUUUUUGGAUAGAAAAAUAAAAAAUUUUUUAGAAAUUGGAUUUGAAAGUAAUUUUUAUUUUAUAAUAAUUAUAAUGAUUAAGCUCUAAAAUAUGC